UCGGGAAUUUUGGGCAAUGGGCGAAAGCCUGACCCAGCAACGCCGCGUGAAGGAUGAAGUUUUUCGGAAUGUAAACUUCAUAAGAAUAGGAAGAAUAAAUGACGGUACUAUUUGUAAGGUCCGGCUAACUACGUGCCAGCAGCCGCGGUAAUACGUAGGGACCAAGCGUUGUUCGGAUUUACUGGGCGUAAAGGGCGCGUAGGCGGCAAUUCAAGUCAGCUGUGAAAUCUCCGGGCUUAACUCGGAACGGUCAGCUGAUACUGCUUUGCUAGAGUGCAGAAGGGGCAAUCGGAAUUCUUGGUGUAGCGGUGAAAUGCGUAGAUAUCAAGAGGAACACCUGAGGUGAAGACGGGUUGCUGGGCUGACACUGACGCUGAGGCGCGAAAGCUAGGGUAGCAAACGGGAUUAGAUACCCCGGUAGUCCUAGCCCUAAACGAUGAAUACUUGGUGUCUGGAGUUUUUAUCCUCCGGGUGCCGUCGCUAACGUUUUAAGUAUUCCGCCUGGGGA
Molecule: ribosomal RNA, 508 nt
Filed under: uncultured Acidobacteriota bacterium
Lineage: Bacteria; Pseudomonadati; Acidobacteriota
Description: bacterial SSU rRNA
Rfam family: Bacterial small subunit ribosomal RNA
Source: RNAcentral